CCCAAGCCAAGCCAUCGCAUCCCCUGUGACUUGCACGUAUACACCCAGAUGGCCUGAAGUAACUGAAGAAUCACAAAAGAAGUGAAUAUGCCCUGCCCCACCUUAACUGAUGACAUUCCACCACAAAAGAAGUGUAAAUGGCCAGUCCUUGCCUGAAGUGAUGACAUUACCUUGUGAAAGUCCUUUUCCUGGCUCAUCCUGGCUCAAAAAGCUCCCCCACUGAGCAACUUGUGACCCCCACUCGUGCCCGCCAGAGAACCCCCUUUGACUGUAAUUUUCCUUUACUUACCCAAAUCCUAUAAAACGGCCCCACCCUUAUCUCCCUUCGCUGACUCUCUUUUCGGACUCAGCCUGCCUGCACCCAGGUGAUUAAAAGCUUUAUUGCUCACACAAAGCCUGUUUGGUGGUCUUUUCACACGGGGGUGCAUGAAAUUUGGUGCCGUGACUUGGAUCGGGGGACCUCCCUUGGGAGAUCAAUCCCCUGUCUUCCUGUUCUUUGCUCCGUGAGAAAGAUCCACCUACGACCUCAGGUCCUCAGACCGACCAGCCCAAGGAACAUCUCACCAAUUUUAAAUCAGAUCUUCUCGGCUUAGCAGCUGAAGACUGACACUGCCCAAUGGCCUCGGAGCCCCCUAAACCAUCACGGACGUUGAGCUUGGGGUAACUCCCGCAGUGGAAGGUAUACACCCAGAUGGCCUGAAGUAACUGAAGAAUCACAAAAGAAGUGAAUAUGCCCUGCCCCACCUUAACUGAUGACAUUCCACCACAAAAGAAGUGUAAAUGGCCGGUCCUUGCCUGAAGUGAUGACAUUACCUCGUGAAAGUCCUUUUCCUGGCUCAUCCUGGCUCAAAAAGCACCCCCACUGAGCACCUUGCGACCCCCCCACUCCUGCCUGCCAGAGAACAAACCCCCUUUGACUGUAAUUUUCCUUUACCUACCCAAAUCCUAUAAAACGGCCCCACCCUUAUCUCCCUUCGCUGGCUCUCUUUUCGGACUCAGCCUGCCUGCACCCAGGUGAUUAAAAGCUUUAUUGCUCA
This is a long non-coding RNA of Pan troglodytes (chimpanzee), 1037 nucleotides long. RefSeq lists it as uncharacterized. The transcript has 3 exons. NCBI's taxonomy places the organism in Eukaryota, Metazoa, Chordata, Mammalia, Primates, Hominidae. The record is from RefSeq and is a predicted model, not a curated record.